RNAcentral lists this ribosomal RNA (498 nucleotides) under uncultured bacterium. RNAcentral describes it as "partial 16S ribosomal RNA". It matches the Rfam family "Bacterial small subunit ribosomal RNA", at positions 28 to 507 of the family's 1533-position model. The record is from RNAcentral.
GACGAACGCUGGCGGCGUGCCUAAUACAUGCAAGUCGAACGAGAGCGACCGGUGCUUGCACUGGUCAAUCUAGUGGCGAACGGGUGAGUAACACGUGGGUAACCUGCCCAUCAGAGGGGGAUAACAUCCGGAAGCGGAUGCUAAAACCGCAUAGGUCUUCGAACCGCAUGGUUUGAAGAGGAAAAGAGGCGCAAGCUUCUGCUGAUGGAUGGACCCGCGGUGCAUUAGCUAGUUGGUGAGGUAACGGCUCACCAAGGCCGUGAUGCAUAGCCGACCUGAGAGGGUGAUCGGCCACAUUGGGACUGAGACACAGCCCAAACUCCUACGGGAGGCAGCAGUAGGGAAUCUUCCGCAAUGGACGCAAGUCUGACGGAGCAACGCCGCGUGAGUGAAGAAGGUUUUCGGAUCGUAAAACUCUGUUGUUAGAGAAGAACAAGUGCUAGAGUAACUGUUAGCGCCUUGACGGUAUCUAACCAGAAAGCCACGGCUAACUACGUG